GCAGGGGUGCCGCAGCGGUCAACCGGGGUGGGCUUAGGACCCACUGGAUGUAGAUCCUUCAAGAGUUCGAAUCUCUUCUCCUGCA
RNAcentral lists this transfer RNA (85 nucleotides) under Candidatus Diapherotrites archaeon CG08_land_8_20_14_0_20_30_16. RNAcentral's name for it is "tRNA-Leu". It matches the Rfam family "tRNA". From Rfam's summary of the family: Transfer RNA (tRNA) molecules are approximately 80 nucleotides in length. Their secondary structure includes four short double-helical elements and three loops (D, anti-codon, and T loops). Lineage: Archaea; Nanobdellati; Candidatus Iainarchaeota. The record is from RNAcentral.